Non-coding RNA from Salmo salar (Atlantic salmon), 54 nucleotides. Lineage: Eukaryota; Metazoa; Chordata; Actinopteri; Salmoniformes; Salmonidae. The record is from Rfam.
UGUAUUCACUACUGUAAGUCGCUCUGGAUAAGAGCGUCUGCUAAAUUACUUUUU